This 87-nucleotide ribosomal RNA is filed under the name Itea virginica. RNAcentral describes it as "partial 5.8S ribosomal RNA". It matches the Rfam family "5.8S ribosomal RNA", at positions 73 to 154 of the family's 154-position model. Rfam says of the family: 5.8S ribosomal RNA (5.8S rRNA) is a component of the large subunit of the eukaryotic ribosome. It is transcribed by RNA polymerase I as part of the 45S precursor that also contains 18S and 28S rRNA. Functionally, it is thought that 5.8S rRNA may be involved in ribosome translocation. Lineage: Eukaryota; Viridiplantae; Streptophyta; Magnoliopsida; Saxifragales; Iteaceae. The record is from RNAcentral.
UGCAGAAUCCCGUGAACCAUCGAGUCUUUGAACGCAAGUUGCGCCCGAAGCCAUUUGGCCUAGGGCACGUCUGCCUGGGCGUCACGU